Long non-coding RNA from Bacillus rossius redtenbacheri, 591 nucleotides. RefSeq lists it as uncharacterized. The record is from RefSeq and is a predicted model, not a curated record. The transcript is spliced from 3 exons. NCBI's taxonomy places the organism in Eukaryota, Metazoa, Arthropoda, Insecta, Phasmatodea, Bacillidae.
GGAGAAAGCGCGCGGCAGAGAUUCGCAAAGGCAGAGGAGGUAGAAGGACAAGAUACAGCGGACACUGUUUCCUCGCUGUUGCAGACGGGCCCUGCUGGGCUCCCGUGUCGCCGGCCCGGCACCUGGUGAGGCUCCAGCACCCACCUGGUGAGGCUCCAGCACCGGCGAGUCCUCCUCGGCGUCGCUGUCUUCCCGCGGCGCCUGCACACCCUCGCACAUCCCUGACAGCCGUCGACUGCGGAGCCACUGACGCGCCGCGCCUCGGGAGAAAUCAUAGCAGAGCUGCUGGGGCUCCAUCCGGCACGGCGGGUCGGAAGGCAAGGACGAGCCAUGGAUGGAUCACAUCUCGGUCACCCGGGCCGACCCCAACGAGUGUCCGAGCCGUCGCCACUUCGCGCCGUUUGGCUCGGUGACGUCGGAGCGGCGGCGAACUUUCAAACCAACACUUGACCUGAUAUCACUGUUUGAAAAACGAAAAGGUUUUGUGUGCUCAUGUGAGCGCGUUAGAAAGAAGCUUGGCUUCUGGGUUGUAGCCGUGUCCUUGGCUAAUAAUUCACCGACGUUUCGGUCGACAUACCUACAGUAGGUAAC